UGCAAUUUAGAGAAAAUUGUAACUUUGGGCCCAAAGGUUUGAAUAAUUAAAUUCAAACCUAUAGUUUUUUUUAUAUAAUUUUGGGACUCACAAUCCCAUUUUUAUAUUAUUUUUCUCUCUUCCUCUCACGUUGCUCGGCGUUUUCUCGCAAGGGGGGAUUAUUUUCUUUUUUCUUCAGAUUAUAUUGACAAAGAUAGUGGUGAAAAAGGAGUUGUGAAGGGGAACUUGUUAUUCAAGACACAAGGAGCGAGUCCGGCCGAGAAAGCACCAGAGGUGUAACUAUGGUGAAGGGAGUAAUUCACACGUUGAAAUGUCAAGCACGACGCGUCAAUGAAAGAAGUGAGGGGGGACAGCCGUGAAAAUAACAGCCAGCAGAUUGGCUUCCACAAAUACUGUCUCAAUUAUUCGUGGAGCCUUGAUGCCUUUAUCAGUGAAUCCGCUAUUUCAACUCAUCAAAUAAUUGGGAUUGAAGGAAAGCUUUAAAAUUUAAAGCCAAUAGUUGAGCAGAGAAGUUAGUUAUGUAGACAUCCGGAUUCCGACGGGGUUUGCAGGGAGUUGCGUCACAUCGUUUUAGUCACCUCAGAUUUGAUGAUUUCUUCGGCCGA
Prosopis cineraria is the source of this 605-nucleotide long non-coding RNA. RefSeq lists it as uncharacterized. The transcript is spliced from 5 exons. NCBI's taxonomy places the organism in Eukaryota, Viridiplantae, Streptophyta, Magnoliopsida, Fabales, Fabaceae. The record is from RefSeq and is a predicted model, not a curated record.